Molecule: ribosomal RNA, 476 nt
Filed under: uncultured bacterium
Lineage: Bacteria
Description: partial 16S ribosomal RNA
Rfam family: Bacterial small subunit ribosomal RNA
Source: RNAcentral
GACGAACGCUGGCGGCGUGCUUAACACAUGCAAGUCGAACGGUAAGGCCUUCGGGUACACGAGUGGCGAACGGGUGAGUAACACGUGGGUGAUCUGCCCUGCACUUUGGGAUAAGCCUGGGAAACUGGGUCUAAUACCGAAUAGGACUACGGCCUGCAUGGGUUGUGGUGGAAAGCUUUUGCGGUGUGGGAUGGGCCCGCGGCCUAUCAGCUUGUUGGUGAGGUCACGGCUCACCAAGGCGACGACGGGUAGCCGGCCUGAGAGGGUGACCGGCCACACUGGGACUGAGAUACGGCCCAGACUCCUACGGGAGGCAGCAGUGGGGAAUAUUGCACAAUGGGCGCAAGCCUGAUGCAGCGACGCCGCGUGAGGGAUGACGGCCUUCGGGUUGUAAACCUCUUUCAGUAGGGACGAAGCGCAAGUGACGGUACCUAUAGAAGAAGGACCGGCCAACUACGUGCCAGCCGCCGCAGUAA